AGUGUACUCACACCACCCUGUUCCUCCCACUGAAUGCGGCUAAAAAACCUGGGCAGAAUAAGUGGAGCAUCUGAGGACUCUGAAAAGUAAAUAAUAGCAGGCAGAUUGGAGAUGAAGACCAAAAUGCAAACCUUUCAUUGGAGAACAGUCUUCCCCCACACCAUCCCAUAGAAAUACUGUUCACUAUAUCUGGUUCAGGAGGACUGACUCUCCCAACUCCUUUCUCCAGGAGUGGAUACAUGAUCCAGGACUGGCCAGAAUUCUACA
This 267-nucleotide long non-coding RNA is filed under the name Homo sapiens (human). Its description in RNAcentral is "non-protein coding POC1B-AS1:41". The record is from RNAcentral. Lineage: Eukaryota; Metazoa; Chordata; Mammalia; Primates; Hominidae.